UUAAUGAUGAGAAACAGAGACAAGUUCAAUCUAUUUCUCAAAUCAGUCCAGACUCUAUGUCUGUUAAUGCUCAUGCAAACAAGCACUCACUUGGGUCUAAUCAGGCCACAGUGCCUAGACCCCCUAUUUUCAGACCUAAAAUUAAUUUUGAACAAAGGAGAGGGCCCUUAUUUUGCAGAUACUGCAAGAAAUCUGGGCACUUAAUUGAUAAGUGCUACAAG
RNAcentral lists this long non-coding RNA (221 nucleotides) under Nicotiana benthamiana. Its description in RNAcentral is "long non-coding RNA (NBEN_LNC000626)". The record is from RNAcentral. Lineage: Eukaryota; Viridiplantae; Streptophyta; Magnoliopsida; Solanales; Solanaceae.